Molecule: ribosomal RNA, 546 nt
Filed under: Triticum aestivum (bread wheat)
Lineage: Eukaryota; Viridiplantae; Streptophyta; Magnoliopsida; Poales; Poaceae
Description: rRNA SSU_rRNA_eukarya
Rfam family: Bacterial small subunit ribosomal RNA (bases 4-285)
Source: RNAcentral
GUGGUUUAAUUCGAUACAACACGCAAAACCUUACCAGCCCUUUACAUAUGAACAUGUCCUUAAUAGGAUGGUACUGACUUUCAUAAAGGUGUUGCAUGGCUGUCGUCAGCUCGUGUCGUGAGAUGUUUGGUCAAGUCCUAUAAUGAGCGAAACCCUUGUUUUGUGUUGCUGAGACAUGUGCCUAAGGAGAAAUUGCCACCGAGUGACGUGCCAGCGCUACUACUUGAUUGAGUGCCAUCACAUAGUUGUGCUUUCGGCAAGAAUUUAACCAUUGGGAGCCGGUGCCUUUCGAAGCACUUUCACAUGUGAACCGAAGUUUUCUUGCCCGUUCGAUUCCACAAUAGAACAAAUAAUGAAAUGAAUGAAUGAAAGCCAUGACCAUGCCUCCAGUAGGAAGAUCGAGGAACCGGUGCUGGCGCUCUUGGUUCAUGGGAUCCUAACCGCGAUGGGGAGAUUAGAUAUUAUUCUUUCGUAAGUGCAUCCAAUGGAAAUAGGUUGAGGAAUCAAAUCAAUAAGCCAUGAACGAAGAAGUAGUGGGCCUUUCGC